RNAcentral lists this long non-coding RNA (1530 nucleotides) under Macaca mulatta (Rhesus monkey). Its description in RNAcentral is "lncRNA (ENSMMUG00000051073.1)". The record is from RNAcentral. Lineage: Eukaryota; Metazoa; Chordata; Mammalia; Primates; Cercopithecidae.
CCCACGCGCCCGCGGCUCGCCUCCGACGGGAAGGCGCCUCUUCCGACCGUCCUGGAUGCAAAUUAAAUACUUCCCUCCGCAGAAGACUUAUCUCGGGGCAUUCCUCAGGCCUUAUCUCUCUGGUUCUGUCUGCUACAUAUGACACCUUGCGAUGGCUCUCACCUUCUGGAAUCUCUCUACUACCUUGGUUUCAGGAGAGUGAACCCUCUCAAUUAUCACAUGAAGCCUCCCCAGGUGCUUCCUGUGUCCUGUCUCUAAAUGUUGCUGUUCCCCAGGGCUUAACCUAGGACCCAUUCCUGUGUCUACACAAGGGAACACGAUGCACAUGGAUGAUCAAUGGUCAGUUCCUGGUCAAUGUAAGUAAACAAGCCUGUUUAAGAUAAAUUCCCCCACACUGCCUUGUACUACUCCUUGCCCUCUGCCUUAAGGUUAUAGAACAGCUGCCUUCUGCUAUUCUUCCCCGAGGCUCUGCAGAACCUUCUGACCUUUCAGAAGGUUUGCGUCCUUUCUCUCUAUAGUUUUUCCACCACUCUGACGAAUCCCCCACAAUGUAUCGCUUUGUAUGCAAAGCCAGGCCUGUCCAUGCAGGGUGACAAUCCAAGGUAGACAGUGGCAAAAUCUGGUGGAGGCAUCAGAGACAGUGCCAUCAGUUCGCUGGAAUAAGCGUAUCAAGGAGCCUGGCAGAUCUACACUUUACCAGACAGUGCCCAUGGCCAACAGGGCAGGCCCUUGCUGCAGAGAAACACUCAGAAAUCAAAACUCCUUGCUCUGCUGUCACGGACCUCUCCAGGAGAUCCUCAGUGUCAUCAGAAGCUGAAAAAGCAGUGCUGAGAAAUGUAGCCUGCCAUCUUUCCAGCUAAGGGAGGUGGCCCAUUCAACCCUGGGUUGUCCUCUGCAAAUGUACUGCUACAGGUCGCAUGGCACCAUCUUCUGAUUGCAAUUGGCUUUCCUGAGGGAGUGAACUGACUGAAAUGGGAUGGUAAUAAGUUGCUAGGUUAUUUUCCACUUUUUAGUUUAUGAGGCUUAUUGAUUUUGCUUUAACAUUAACUACUGCCUUCCUUUUAAGGAGCUGGUGAGGCAGAGCAUGGCAGCAGGUUGAGGGUGGGGAAGUGGCACCACCUCCUUUUGGGGAGGAUUUGGGAGGGUGAAAAGCACCCUCAUCUUCUCAGCUGCGUGUGAACAAACCACCUGUCAAGGUGGGUCCUUCAUCUAUAGGAGGAUGAUGUCAGCCCUUCAGGGAGGUCUGUUUUCUUCCUCCAUUUCCCAACCCCUUCAUUAUCAUUCCUUCCACAACAGAGUAAGUUUCUUGAGCAAAGCAGCAAUAUCUAGCAAUUUUAGAUAGACAUUUACCUUUUGACCUAGAAAUCUCACUUCUACGAAUCCAUCCUGAAGACACUCUCAGCUGGAUGUGGUCGCUCAUGCCUGUGAUCCUAACACUUUGGGAGGCUAAAGCAGGAGAAUCACUUGGGCUCAGGAGCUCAAGACCAGCCUGGGCAACAUAGCAAGACCCUAUCUCUACAAAAAAAAAAA